This 657-nucleotide ribosomal RNA is filed under the name uncultured Clostridium sp. RNAcentral describes it as "bacterial SSU rRNA". It matches the Rfam family "Bacterial small subunit ribosomal RNA", at positions 60 to 732 of the family's 1533-position model. The record is from RNAcentral. Lineage: Bacteria; Bacillati; Bacillota; Clostridia; Eubacteriales; Clostridiaceae.
AGUCGAGCGAAUGAAGUUCCUUCGGGAACGGAUUUAGCGGCGGACGGGUGAGUAACACGUGGGCAACCUGCCUCAUAGAGGGGAAUAGCCUUCCGAAAGGGAGAUUAAUACCGCAUAAGAUUGUAGUACCGCAUGGUACAGCAAUUAAAGGAGCAAUCCGCUAUGAGAUGGGCCCGCGGCGCAUUAGCUAGUUGGUGAGGUAACGGCUCACCAAGGCGACGAUGCGUAGCCGACCUGAGAGGGUGAUCGGCCACAUUGGGACUGAGACACGGCCCAGACUCCUACGGGAGGCAGCAGUGGGGAAUAUUGCACAAUGGGGGAAACCCUGAUGCAGCAACGCCGCGUGAGUGAUGACGGCCUUCGGGUUGUAAAGCUCUGUCUUCAGGGACGAUAAUGACGGUACCUGAGGAGGAAGCCACGGCUAACUACGUGCCAGCAGCCGCGGUAAUACGUAGGUGGCGAGCGUUGUCCGGAUUUACUGGGCGUAAAGGGAGCGUAGGCGGAUUUUUAAGUGAGAUGUGAAAUACUCGGGCUUAACCUGAGUGCUGCAUUUCAAACUGGAAGUCUAGAGUGCAGGAGAGGAGAAGGGAAUUCCUAGUGUAGCGGUGAAAUGCGUAGAGAUUAGGAAGAACACCAGUGGCGAAGGCGCUUCUCUGG